AUGCACCGGGGUGCUACUGAGCCAGCAGGAUCCACGGGGCGGACUGGUGGACGCGGGCAGCCGGGUCCAGGUUGCUUGUCUGUCACUCAAGAAGGGGCGGGCACAGCUGCCGGUAGAGGGGAAAAACGCCGGCCGUCCCCGCCCCCCUAGUGGAGGCCUCUUAAAGAAACAGGACGCCUUUCCCCUGCGGGCUACAGGGUCUGAAGGAAGCAGCCGUGUGAUGGAGGGAGCACCGUGAUCCCUUCGCUGCAGAUGAGGAAACUGAGGCUCAGAGAGGGUCCGAGAUCUUACAGCUGGUGAGAGGCAGAGCAAGAUGCCAACCUAUGCCUGUUGGAUUCCAAAGUUUAUACUUUAAUCGUUCGUCUAGCAGAUUCUUACAACAAUCCUGGGAGGUGUGUAUUCAGCUGUCCCUUUGCAGAUAAAGAAACUGAUACUCAGCAAAGAGACGAUGUAGUGACUACCACUUAUAGGCCACUGCGCAGUCUGCAAAGCAGUUUUAAAUAUGUUGUUUCAUUUGAUCCUCGAAACAUCUUGGAAUUAAAGAUGAUUUUUGUUAGUCCUAUUUUACAGGUGAAUAAAGUGAGGCUUGGGGAGGUUGAGGCUUAGCCAUAGCUAACAUUGCUAAAGCUCUGGCAGGAGUUACUCUUCCUCCUUCUCACUGGCUGGACCCAGCCUUGACCUUGUGAUGAUGACGAUGAUGUGCUAGGGGACAGAGCUACAGCACAGGAGGUGCCAAAUGCUACCUGCCUACUUGGGACACUCACUUCAUACUCUUAUGUGAAAGCGAAAUGAUCUUCUCCGUUCCUUUUAUUAUUAACUUUGAUAGCAGGGAGGGCUGUUUGAGCCAACCCUGCACUCACACAACACUGAGGAAGAAAGGCUUAAAUUUUGUACCCUGGGUGCCUCAGUUUGCUUCAUCCUAGUCCUGGCUCUGCUUAAUAACACAUUUAUCCAAGGAAUGAAUCACUCACUUGAGAGCUUUACAAGACUGUGUCAUUUUUUUUUUCCCUGAUAUUGCCAGUGCAGGUUCUUUGAUUGCAAGUCUUAGGAAUCAAUUCUGGCUAAAUUUACCCAAAAAAGAUUUUAUUGGCAGGCUAGUGUUUAACUCACAGAGGUAACAGGAAGCUGGAGAAUCAGGCUUAGAAAAGGACAGAAAGUGGAGAUGCUUUGAGAGUUUAGGCAGGCAAGUGAAUCAAUUCCAUGUUUUUCUUCCCUUUCUUGACCAGAGUUUUCUUUGAUGAGUCAAAGUCCCUGGAGCAAGGGUUCGAUUGGCUGAGCUCAGGUAACAUGUCCACACUUUAGCUAAGGAGGGCAGGCAACUUGAUGGACAGCUCCACCAAGACUGCACAGAAGUGCAGAGUUCCAGAUCCCUCUUCCUCCACCUCAGCUGCUCCCAGUGGGCAACUAGGUUCAGGUGCCCUGUUUUCAGGCUGGAAUCAAAUAGGAGGAGUACCUGCAGCUGAAUGUCAUGAUUACACAAAUGCAAUUGUGUCUGGCACGUGGGAGAGGAUAGUAGAGAUUCUGAGCUUUGUAACCUUGCAGACCUUUGUGCUAUUUACCAGCUGUUUGUCCCUGGGUAAGUUACUAGAUCUCUCUGAGCCUGUCUCCUCAUGUGUACAAUGGGGAGAAUAACAGUACCAGCCUUAAUGGAUUGUUUUGAGAAAUGAGAUCACUGUAAAUAUACAACAGUUAGCAAAAUGUCUGCAUUUAAGUGCUCAAUAAAUUGUAAAUUAUAAAAUUUUAAAAUUA
Long non-coding RNA from Pan troglodytes (chimpanzee), 1749 nucleotides. RefSeq lists it as uncharacterized. NCBI's taxonomy places the organism in Eukaryota, Metazoa, Chordata, Mammalia, Primates, Hominidae. The record is from RefSeq and is a predicted model, not a curated record. The transcript has 3 exons.